GAGAGAUGGCUGAGUGGUCGAAAGCGGCACCCUGCUAAGGUGUUGAACCCUUCACGGGGUUCCGAGGGUUCGAAUCCCUCUCUCUCC
RNAcentral lists this transfer RNA (87 nucleotides) under marine eukaryotic metagenome. It matches the Rfam family "tRNA". From Rfam's summary of the family: Transfer RNA (tRNA) molecules are approximately 80 nucleotides in length. Their secondary structure includes four short double-helical elements and three loops (D, anti-codon, and T loops). Further hydrogen bonds mediate the characteristic L-shaped molecular structure. tRNAs have two regions of fundamental functional importance: the anti-codon, which is responsible for specific mRNA codon recognition, and the 3' end, to which the tRNAs corresponding amino acid is attached (by aminoacyl-tRNA synthetases). tRNAs cope with the degeneracy of the genetic code in two manners: having more than one tRNA (with a specific anti-codon) for a particular amino acid; and 'wobble' base-pairing, i.e. permitting non-standard base-pairing at the 3rd anti-codon position. The record is from RNAcentral.